Molecule: long non-coding RNA, 1626 nt
Filed under: Fukomys damarensis (Damara mole-rat)
Lineage: Eukaryota; Metazoa; Chordata; Mammalia; Rodentia; Bathyergidae
Description: lncRNA (ENSFDAG00000029608.1)
Source: RNAcentral
CCCCAGUGCAAGACUCCAAGUCUCACUUCCACUCCACCGAGCACGAACAGCCAAAAGGCCUCCACGAUGCUGAGUCCUGUAGUCCAACGAUGGCUCCGGAGGCAAGACCCAGGGCCUUACUUCCGAAAGCCGUGAACAGCAGAAAGGGCCUCCAUGAUGCUGGGACCUAUAGUUCAGCGAGGCUCCGGGAGCUCGACGGAGAAUGAGAAACCCAGGAAGGAACACACCAGGCUAGAUGAAAAUGAUGAGGACGAGCAGGUCCUGUGGGAAGAUGAGAAGACUUUCCGGAGUGAGAGGCGAAGGACGUGUUCCAAGCAGAGGGAGCUCAGCAGGCCAGAAGACAGCCAGAGAAGAGCCAAGGCCAGAGGGAGUCAGGAUGGAUGACCCAGUGAAGGCCAAGAUAAUUUUUUACUCUUUGCGGAAACCACCAUGGCUGAGCACCUUGAAGACCCCUCUUCCUCUCCUACCCAUACUCCAACCCUCAAGCUCCACCUCCCCUUGCCUCCUGUAUUGUAGCGGCUUCCCACAGACACCUGUGCUUGCCUUGGACACAAGUGCUUUGGAGCAGAGCACCCGGAAAGUGAACUUCUUUAGUAUUAGCAUUUAUUGCUAGAUGUGAACACGUGCUUUACAGUGCUGGAAGACUCUUCCCACAGGGGGCCUGUGUGCCUCCCACAACAUCCGAGAAAAAUCCCACGUGGACAUGCUGAAGAAAAACGGUGUCUGUGCUCUUGGUGCUGCCCUUGUCUUCCUAUAUCCCGUAAUGUCCCUUACAAGGCAGCACACUCCUGAGCAAGGUAGAGGUUGGCAGGACUCUUGUACUUGUAAAUGUUUUGCUGGUCUAAAGGUGAGUUUAUGAGGAUGUUUAUGAGGAUGAUCUCACAAGACAGCGAAACACAGACUCAGCUUGUCUCCUGAGUGAGACCGAGCUGCAAUGACUGGGGUUUAGGCCAAAGAGCUCUCGGGUGGGUGCAGAGUCACUGUUUGUAGCCAACACGGUGGGAAGAGUUGUUAGGAGAAUGCCCAGGGGUGCUUCUGUCUGGAGAGCACCCAAGCCAAUCAAAAUUUACAGCCCUGGGGCAAGGGAGCCAAAGCACUCCACUUGGUGAUCUCCACAAGUUCUUCUUCUGAGGGGACUGCUCAGCAAAGAGAAAUCAAGACCCACCUUUCACAGAGCAGGAGAGUGAGGAAAUAAAAUGCAAAGGAGCAAAUGACAGUGUAUAGUACACCAGACACGUGUAAAAUAGGGUCAGAGUACCUGCCCUGAAGGUUGCUUAAUAAGUAAAUAUUUCCUUUUUAAAAGUUUUAUGUUCAUAAAACAAAAGUAGCACCUAAGCAAUCCUUUAUUAUAUGACACACUGCAUACUGAUCUCUCUCUCUCUCUCUGUUUUAUAGGUUGUGUCAUCUUUGUGGUCACAGGAUACAUAUUACUUGAUAUGUUCAGUUUGCAGUCAUUUACAGCGUUUUGUUUUUCUCUUUUUCGUACUAGAAUUUAGGAAAGAUUUUUGUGUGCAGCAAUGCUAUUGGAUUCAGAGUAAAUACAAAAAAAAAAAGAAUAAAAACUGUUUUGGAAAUGAAGUAUACAUUUGUGUAUGCUGGAGAGAGGAAGACCAAAGGUACAAGGAA